This 430-nucleotide ribosomal RNA is filed under the name uncultured bacterium. Its description in RNAcentral is "bacterial SSU rRNA". It matches the Rfam family "Bacterial small subunit ribosomal RNA", at positions 355 to 776 of the family's 1533-position model. The record is from RNAcentral.
UGGGGAAUCUUGCGCAAUGGGCGAAAGCCUGACGCAGCAACGCCGCGUGUGUGAUGAAGGUCUUCGGAUCGUAAAGCACUGUCGGGAGGGACGAAUAAGGCGGCGGCGAACAGCCGCAGUCGACGACGGUACCUCCAAAGGAAGCACCGGCUAACUCUGUGCCAGCAGCCGCGGUAAUACAGAGGGUGCAAGCGUUGUUCGGAAUUAUUGGGCGUAAAGCGCGUGUAGGCGGCCUUGCAAGUUGGGUGUGAAAGCCCUCGGCUCAACCGAGGAAGUGCGCCCAAAACUAUAAGGCUUGAGUACCGGAGAGGGUGGCGGAAUUCCCGGUGUAGAGGUGAAAUUCGUAGAUAUCGGGAGGAACACCAGCGGCGAAGGCGGCCACCUGGACGGAUACUGACGCUGAGACGCGAAAGCGUGGGGAGCAAACAGG